CAAGGAGAAAAAUUAAAAGGCUUUUUCGCCCCCAGGAAGAGAGGCCCCCGCGGUCAAUAAGCUAGUUGGGGAGGUAACCGCUCCACCAAGGCAACGAUCCAUACCCCCCCUGAAGAGGUGAAUCGCCCCACUGGGGACUGAGACCCGGCCCCAGACUCCUACGGGAGGCAGCAGUAGGGAAUCUUCGGCAAUGGACGAAAGUCUGACCGAGCAACGCCGCGUGAGUGAAGAAGGUUUUCGGAUCGUAAAACUCUGUUGUUAGAGAAGAACAAGGAUGAGAGUAAAAUGUUCAUCCCUUGACGGUAUCUAACCAGAAAGCCACGGCUAACUACGUGCCAGCAGCCGCGGUAAUACGUAGGUGGCAAGCGUUGUCCGGAUUUAUUGGGCGUAAAGCGAGCGCAGGCGGUUUCUUAAGUCUGAUGUGAAAGCCCCCGGCUCAACCGGGGAGGGUCAUUGGAAACUGGGAGACUUGAGUGCAGAAGAGGAGAGUGGAAUUCCAUGUGUAGCGGUGAAAUGCGUAGAUAUAUGGAGGAACACCAGUGGCGAAGGCGGCUCUCUGGUCUGUAACUGACGCUGAGGCUCGAAAGCGUGGGGAGCGAACAGGAUUAGAUACCCUGGUAGUCCACGCCGUAAACGAUGAGUGCUAAGUGUUGGAGGGUUUCCGCCCUUCAGUGCUGCAGCAAACGCAUUAAGCACUCCGCCUGGGGAGUACGACCGCAAGGUUGAAACUCAAAGGAAUUGACGGGGGCCCGCACAAGCGGUGGAGCAUGUGGUUUAAUUCGAAGCAACGCGAAGAACCUUACCAGGUCUUGACAUCCUUUGACCACUCUAGAGAUAGAGCUUCCCCUUCGGGGGCAAAGUGACAGGUGGUGCAUGGUUGUCGUCAGCUCGUGUCGUGAGAUGUUGGGUUAAGUCCCGCAACGAGCGCAACCCUUAUUGUUAGUUGCCAUCAUUUAGUUGGGCACUCUAGCGAGACUGCCGGUGACAAACCGGAGGAAGGUGGGGAUGACGUCAAAUCAUCAUGCCCCUUAUGACCUGGGCUACACACGUGCUACAAUGGGAAGUACAACGAGUUGCGAAGUCGCGAGGCUAAGCUAAUCUCUUAAAGCUUCUCUCAGUUCGGAUUGUAGGCUGCAACUCGCCUACAUGAAGCCGGAAUCGCUAGUAAUCGCGGAUCAGCACGCCGCGGUGAAUACGUUCCCGGGCCUUGUACACACCGCCCGUCACACCACGAGAGUUUGUAACACCCGAAGUCGGUGAGGUAACCUUUUGGAGCCAGCCGCCUAAGUGAUAGAUAUGU
This 1300-nucleotide ribosomal RNA is filed under the name Enterococcus canintestini. RNAcentral's name for it is "bacterial SSU rRNA". It matches the Rfam family "Bacterial small subunit ribosomal RNA", at positions 189 to 1474 of the family's 1533-position model. The record is from RNAcentral. Lineage: Bacteria; Bacillati; Bacillota; Bacilli; Lactobacillales; Enterococcaceae.